UGGGGAAUAUUGGACAAUGGGGGGAACCCUGAUCCAGCCAUGCCGCGUGUGUGAAGAAGGCCUUAUGGUUGUAAAGCACUUUAAGCGAGGAGGAGGCUACUAGUAUUAAUACUACUGGAUAGUGGACGUUACUCGCAGAAUAAGCACCGGCUAACUCUGUGCCAGCAGCCGCGGUAAUACAGAGGGUGCGAGCGUUAAUCGGAUUUACUGGGCGUAAAGCGUGCGUAGGCGGCCAUUUAAGUCAAAUGUGAAAUCCCCGAGCUUAACUUGGGAAUUGCAUUCGAUACUGGAUGGCUAGAGUAUGGGAGAGGAUGGUAGAAUUCCAGGUGUAGCGGUGAAAUGCGUAGAGAUCUGGAGGAAUACCGAUGGCGAAGGCAGCCAUCUGGCCUAAUACUGGACGCUNGAGGUACGAAAGCAUGGGGAGCAAACAGGAUUAGAUACCUGGUAGUCCAUGCCGUAAACGAUGUCUACUAGCCGUUGGGGCCUUUGAGGCUUUAGUGGCGCAGCUAACGCGAUAAGUAGACCGCCUGGGGAGUACGGUCGCAAGACU
RNAcentral lists this ribosomal RNA (550 nucleotides) under uncultured bacterium. Its description in RNAcentral is "partial 16S ribosomal RNA". It matches the Rfam family "Bacterial small subunit ribosomal RNA", at positions 355 to 895 of the family's 1533-position model. The record is from RNAcentral.